GGGGAAUCUUCCGCAAUGGGCGAAAGCCUGACGGAGCAAUACCGCGUGAGGGAGGAAGGCUUUUGGGUUGUAAACCUCUUUUCUCAGGGAAGAAGUUCUGACGGUACCUGAGGAAUCAGCAUCGGCUAACUCCGUGCCAGCAGCCGCGGUAAUACGGAGGAUGCAAGCGUUAUCCGGAAUUAUUGGGCGUAAAGCGUCCGCAGGUGGCCUUUCAAGUCUGCUGUCAAAGACCAGAGCUCAACUCUGGGCAGGCGGUGGAAACUGGGAAGCUAGAGUACGGUAGGGGUAGAGGGAAUUCCCAGUGUAGCGGUGAAAUGCGUAGAGAUUGGGAAGAACACCAGUGGCGAAGGCGCUCUACUGGACCGAAACUGACACUCAGGGACGAAAGCUAGGGGAGCGAAAGGGAUUAGAUACCCCUGUAGUC
This 424-nucleotide ribosomal RNA is filed under the name uncultured cyanobacterium. RNAcentral describes it as "bacterial SSU rRNA". It matches the Rfam family "Bacterial small subunit ribosomal RNA", at positions 356 to 795 of the family's 1533-position model. Lineage: Bacteria; Bacillati; Cyanobacteriota. The record is from RNAcentral.